AUAAACAACAAAUCAUAACAAUUCGUAGUAGGUAGAUAUGGUGUAAU
This 47-nucleotide non-coding RNA is filed under the name Trypanosoma lewisi. Lineage: Eukaryota; Euglenozoa; Kinetoplastea; Trypanosomatida; Trypanosomatidae. The record is from RNAcentral.